AUUGAACGCUGGCGGCAUGCCUUACACAUGCAAGUCGAACGGCAGCACAGUUGCUUCCUCCUCGUACCGGGUGCCAGUGGCGUGCGUGAUAGAUAGACACCUGUACUGACUUGUGGGUUAGGGCUGACGAAGCCGAACUUAUACCGCUACCGCACUACGCCUGCGAGUGAAAGACGUUGAUGUCUCGAGCUUUCGGGUUGGCAGAUGCCUGAUUAGCUAGUUGGCGGGGUAAAGGCCUACCAAGGCGACGAUCAGUAGCUGGUCUGAGAGGACGAUCAGCCACACUGGAACUGAGACACGGCCCAGACUCCUACGGGAGGCAGCAGUGGGGAAUUUUGGACAAUGGGCGCAAGCCUGAUCCAGCAAUACCGCGUGUGUGAAGAAGGCCUUCGGGUUGUAAAGCACUUUUGUUGGGAAAGAAAAGCAGCAGGUUAAUACGGCGCUGUUAUGACGGUACCGGAAGAAUAAGCACCGGCUAACUUCGUG
RNAcentral lists this ribosomal RNA (486 nucleotides) under uncultured bacterium. Its description in RNAcentral is "partial 16S ribosomal RNA". It matches the Rfam family "Bacterial small subunit ribosomal RNA", at positions 30 to 507 of the family's 1533-position model. The record is from RNAcentral.